AGCUAAUGCUUGUACAAAGGUAACAUAUAUUGCUGGUAACCCAAAAAAUAAAUAAAUAGCAGCGCACUCAGACUGACAGCCCCCAUCCCACCAGUGACUGCCCAUGUUUUACCCCCUCAUAUCAUCUAAAUGCCUCCACAUAGUUGUUGAUUUAUUUUGCAACUGUCUGGGGGGUUUUAAACGCUUGAUGCAUUCUUUUUUCGGUAACAUAUGGUAAUCAAGAUUAUGAAAAUAAUUGUUUAUUUCUGGCUGCUCAGAACCUACUUUUUUUACAAAUAAACAUAUAUUUGAUAGACCUCUGUGUCUGUCUGUUUUCCCC
Pelobates cultripes (western spadefoot toad) is the source of this 319-nucleotide non-coding RNA. Lineage: Eukaryota; Metazoa; Chordata; Amphibia; Anura; Pelobatidae. The record is from the annotation of a GenBank genome assembly.